This 2775-nucleotide ribosomal RNA is filed under the name Halicephalobus gingivalis. RNAcentral describes it as "eukaryotic LSU rRNA". It matches the Rfam family "Eukaryotic large subunit ribosomal RNA", at positions 80 to 2855 of the family's 3401-position model. The record is from RNAcentral. Lineage: Eukaryota; Metazoa; Nematoda; Chromadorea; Rhabditida; Panagrolaimidae.
CUAGUAACUGCGAGUGAAAAAGGAUAAGCUCAUCGCUGAAUCUCUGUGGUUUAAAUACUGCAGCGAACUGUAGCGUAUAAGGAUAUAUUAUGGCAUUAUAUAGAUAUGUAAGUUCUCGUUGAUUCGAGUUCCAUAGAAGGUUUAAGACCUGUAAGAUAUCUAAUAUUUUGUCAAUUGAUAUACUCUUACGAGUCGGGUUGUUUGGAAACGCAGCCCAAAGUAGGUGGUAAACUUCAUCUAAAGCUAAAUAUAACCGUGAGACCAAUAGUAAACAAGUACCGUGAGGGAAAGUUGAAAAGUACUCUGAAGAGAGAGUUAAAAGAACGUGAAAACGAUUAAGUGGAAGCAAACAGGUCUAUUUGAAGGUAUGUAUUUAUGUAUAUAUCUGCUAAUAUGUAUACGAGAUGAUUAUUACCUUGUUAUAAGAGGACUCCAAUUAUAUUGAAGAAACCAUAUAAUGAUUGAACAUUAUUCUCUUAUACGAUUAUUAGCAUUUAUGAUGGUUACCUGUUUGACCCGUCUUGAAACACGGACCAAGAAGUUUAUUGUAUACGCGAGUCAUUAAGUGUAAAAACUUAUUGGCGUAAUGAAAGUGAAGGUUUAUUUGUUAAGCUUACGUAUGAUAAUGUAUUUACGGAUAUAUUAGUAAUACGGUCCUAUUCUAAUGAUUUAUCAUAGAGUGGAGAUAGAGCGUAUGCAAUGAGACCCGAAAGAUGGUGAUCUAUGCUUGAGCAGGAUGAAGCCGGAGGAAACUCUGGUGRAAGUCCGUAACGGUUCUGACGUGCAAAUCGAUCGUCUGACUUGAGUAUAGGGGCGAAAGACUAAUCGAACCAUCUAGUAGCUGGUUCCUUCUGAAGUUUCCCUCAGGAUAGCUUCGGUUAAUACAGUUAUACUCGGUAAAGCGAAUGAUUAGAGGUAUUGGGGACUAAAUGUCCUCAACCUAUUCUCAAACUCUAAAUGGGUAGGAUGUAUUUGUUUCUUAAUUGAACAUAUACAUUAAAUGGUAACCGAAAGUGGGCCAUUUUUGGUAAGCAGAACUGGCGAUAUGGGAUGAACCAUAAGUUAAGUUAAAGUGCCAGAUUUUUCGCACAUGGGACCCCAUAAAAGGUGUUGAUUGGUAUUGACAGCAGGGCGGUGGACAUGGAAGUUGUAAUCCGCUAAGGAGUGUGUAACAACUCACCUGCCGAAUCAAUUGGCCCUGAAAAUGGAUGGCGCUAUAGCGAGAAACUUACACUUAACUGGUGUAUGUAGUAUAUUCAUAUACCAUGUAAGAAGGCGUAACGAUAAGCUUUGAAGGUAUAAGAUGUGAAUCUAACUGGAGCUAUCGUUAGUGCAGAUCUUGGUGAUAGUAGCAAAGAUUCAAGUGAGAAACUUGAAGGCCGAAGUGAAAACGGUUUUCGCGUGAACAGUAUUUGAACGCGAGUUAGUCGGUCCUAAGUCUAUACCUAAAGGUGUUAAUUAUGAGAUAUAUGUUUUAUUAUAUAUCUCUUAGACGAAAGGGAAACAGGUUAAUAUUCCUGUACUUGAAUCAUACGGUGCAAAUUGUUUAUACAAUUUGUAAGGGGCGGUAACGUAUAUGAAACCAUAAAUAUCAUAUAUGGUUCAGGCUAGAGAUAUCUUCUCUAGUUAAUAUAGUUUGUCCAUGGAAUAGGUUCUGCCUGAGAUAUGGAUAAAGUUAUUAAAAAGUAUCGCAGUUUUUGUGAUAUCCUGAGUGCUAUAUAUGAUCCGUGAAAAUAUGGUGAAUCCCUUAUAAUGUAUGAUAAAGCCGUACCGAAACCGCAUCAGGUUUUCAAGGUGUAUAGCCUCUGGUCGAUAGAAUAAUGUAGGUAAGGGAAGUCGGCAAAUUAGAUCCGUAACUUUGGGAAAAGAAUUGGCUCUACGGAUUGAGUAAUAGGAGUAURUAGAARAAGCUUAUAUUUAUAAUAAGAUCUGAGGRAUCGYAAGUGAACUUGGGUUAAUGUUAURRAUAUUUGUUGACRCUAUAUACUAURUUGUUAACGCAAUGUCCUAUUACAAUGAACAAUUAACGUAGAACUGACACGGACUCGGGGAAUCCGACUGUCUAAUUAAAACAGAGCUGAUAGAAAGUGUUUGUACACAUUGACUAUCUGUGAUUUCUGCCCAGUGCUCUGAAUGUUAAUAUAAGGAAACUUGCGUAAGCGCGGGUAAACGGCGGGAGUAACUAUGACUCUCUUAAGGUAGCCAAAUGCCUCGUCAUCUAAUUAGUGACGCGCACGAAUGGAUUAACGAGAUUCCCACUGUCCCUAUCUACUAUCUAGCGAAAUCACAGCCAAGGGAACGGGCUUGGUAAAUACUGCGGGGAAAGAAGACCCUAUUGAGUUUGACUCUAGUCUGGCUUUGUGAGGAAUCACAAGAGGUGUAGUAUAGGAGGGAGCGUAAGCAUCAGUGAAAUACCUCCACUUUUGUCGAUUCUUUACUUAGUUGGUUAAGUGAGAUAUCAUUUAUUUGAUUAUUUAUGUAUUAAAGUAUAUCUUUUUUAAGAUGUAUGACUCUCGCCAAUAACAGUGCCAGGCGGGGAGUUUGACUGGGGCGGUAUAACUGUCAAAUCGUAACGCAGUUGUCCUAAAGCUUACUCAGAAAGGACAGAAACCUUUUGUAGACAAAAAGGUGAAAAGUAUGCUUGAUCUUGAUUCUCAGUACGAAUACAGACCGAAAAAUCGUGGCCUAUCGAUCCUUUUGGAUAUAAAGUUUAUACUAAGAGGUGUCAGAAAAAUUACCAUAGGGAUAACUGGCUUGUGGCAGCCAAGCGUCCAU